UGCAAGUCGAACGAUGAAGCCCAGCUUGCUGGGUGGAUUAGUGGCGAACGGGUGAGUAACACGUGGGUGAUCUGCCCUGCACUCUGGGAUAAGCCUGGGAAACUGGGUCUAAUACCGGAUAUGACCUCUUGCUGCAUGGUGAGGGGUGGAAAGUUUUUCGGUGCAGGAUGAGCCCGCGGCCUAUCAGCUUGUUGGUGGGGUAAUGGCCUACCAAGGCGACGACGGGUAGCCGGCCUGAGAGGGCGACCGGCCACACUGGGACUGAGACACGGCCCAGACUCCUACGGGAGGCAGCAGUGGGGAAUAUUGCACAAUGGGCGAAAGCCUGAUGCAGCGACGCCGCGUGAGGGAUGACGGCCUUCGGGUUGUAAACCUCUUUCAGCAGGGACGAAGCGAAAGUGACGGUACCUGCAGAAGAAGCACCGGCCAACUACGUGCCAGCAGCCGCGGUAAUACGUAGGGUGCGAGCGUUGUCCGGAAUUACUGGGCGUAAAGAGCUCGUAGGCGGUUUGUCGCGUCGUCUGUGAAAUCCCGCAGCUCAACUGCGGGCUUGCAGG
This 557-nucleotide ribosomal RNA is filed under the name Rhodococcus rhodochrous. Its description in RNAcentral is "bacterial SSU rRNA". It matches the Rfam family "Bacterial small subunit ribosomal RNA", at positions 56 to 627 of the family's 1533-position model. The record is from RNAcentral. Lineage: Bacteria; Bacillati; Actinomycetota; Actinomycetes; Mycobacteriales; Nocardiaceae.